Non-coding RNA from Vicia faba (fava bean), 408 nucleotides. NCBI's taxonomy places the organism in Eukaryota, Viridiplantae, Streptophyta, Magnoliopsida, Fabales, Fabaceae. The record is from the annotation of a GenBank genome assembly.
UUUUUAGUUUUAUUAAUCUUAAGACGAAUCUCCUACAAAUCAAUUUUUAAACUCACACCCCUUUUAAGUCAAAACUUCGACACUAGGUCGCCGUAUCUUGAAAAUCUCGACCAUACCCAUUUUAGCCAAACAAACCAUUUUAAUCAAACAAAUAAUUUUAAUCGAAAAAAAAAAUAUUUCAAAAGGUUCAUACGGAGUACCGUAGAUGCAUUGGGUGCUAGUACCUUCCCAUUAUAUAACCAACCCCCGAACUCUCGAUCUCUUUUAAAAAUGCAUUGUAUUUUCAUUAAUUUUAAGUGUUAUUUUACAUUACAUAUUUUAGGGUUUUAUUUCGCUCUUUUACCUUUUCUCUUGGAAAUAAUAAAGCGCGGUGGCGACUCUUUCUUAUUUGCGAGUCAAGUUAAUUAA